This 757-nucleotide long non-coding RNA is filed under the name Glycine max (soybean). RNAcentral's name for it is "long non-coding RNA (GMAX_LNC000311)". The record is from RNAcentral. Lineage: Eukaryota; Viridiplantae; Streptophyta; Magnoliopsida; Fabales; Fabaceae.
UUAGUUAUGAUUGCAAUUAUAAUACCCACAUGUAAUCUAAUUAUUUAUUAAGCAUGAUUAUAGUUAUAUAAAUAUUCAAAUCAUGAGUACCCUUGAUCUUCAGCAUUGCACAAAAAGUUCAUACAAAGAUUAUACAGUAAACAUGUCCCUGCAUUAAGGCUAGCCCGAUAAAUUUGUGAGGCACAAUCCAGGGAAGCUGAUCCACUCUGAUUGAUAGUGAGUAAUUAAAUCGUCUCACCCUACAUUUCAACCACAUCCAUGUUUUAAUCCUUAUAGAAAACUUGAAUGUUGAAGAUUAAUUAGAACAAGUGUGUAUGAUCUAUACGAAACAAUUUUCUUAUUUUUCUUAGCGAGUUCUCCUUUUCAUAUAAUUCUUUGUAAAGAAAUUGUUAGUACACUUCAUUUUCAUAUUCUCACCUAAAUGAGUUAUCAUAACAACUUUUGCUCGUGCAAGAAAGCUUAAAGGGACUUAAUGUUACAAAAAUACUUGAUAUUUAACCCGUGUGUAAAAAGUUAUCAACAUUGUUGUCUCAAAAGAUAAGAAAAUAAUACUUGUAACUUUAUUGAUAUAAUGGAGCAAUCCUUCUUUAGGUGAAGGGACUAAACAUCAUUAUUGGAUUUAAGAAUAAACCAAGUUAGAAAACAAAAUAUAAGAAUGUUAUCUUGAUUUAUAAACAUAAUUCAACCCUACUUCUUAUGUUUAUUUAAGUUGGUAUUAAAGCUUAAUCUUUGGGGCUUAAGCAUCUAACAAUGCAAG